RNAcentral lists this unclassified non-coding RNA (253 nucleotides) under uncultured Chitinophagales bacterium. Its description in RNAcentral is "contains 16S-23S intergenic spacer region". It matches the Rfam family "Bacterial small subunit ribosomal RNA", at positions 524 to 776 of the family's 1533-position model. The record is from RNAcentral. Lineage: Bacteria; Pseudomonadati; Bacteroidota; Chitinophagia; Chitinophagales.
UACGGAGGGUGCAAGCGUUAUCCGGAUUCACUGGGUUUAAAGGGUGCGUAGGUGGAAUGGUAAGUCAGUGGUGAAAGCUCCCCGCUCAACGGGGAAAUUGCCAUUGAUACUGUCAUUCUUGAGUACAGUUGAGGUAAGCGGAAUGGGUCAUGUAGCGGUGAAAUGCAUAGAUAUGACCCAGAACACCCAUUGCGAAGGCAGCUUACUAAACUGUUACUGACACUGAGGCACGAAAGCGUGGGUAGCGAACAGG